UUUCCGUAGGUGAACCUGCGGAAGGAUCAUUAACGAGUUUUGAAAUGGGUUGUAGCUGGCCUUACGAAGGCAUGUGCACACCCUGCUCAUCCACUCUCAUACCCCUGUGCACCUAUUGUAGGCUUGGUGGGAAGACUGGUGUCACAACCAGUCGGAAAGCCUUGCCUAUGUUUUAACACAAACGCUUCAGUUUUAGAAUGUCACAUUUGCGUCUAACGCAUGAAAUACAACUUUCAGCAACGGAUCUCUUGGCUCUCGCAUCGAUGAAGAACGCAGCGAAAUGCGAUAAGUAAUGUGAAUUGCAGAAUUCAGUGAAUCAUCGAAUCUUUGAACGCACCUUGCACUCCUUGGUAUUCCGAGGAGUAUGCCUGUUUGAGUGUCAUGGUAUUCUCAACCUCUAAAGCUUUUGCGAUAGAGGCUUGGAUGUGGAGGUCGUGUUGGCGCAAGUCAACUCCUCUGAAAUGCAUUAGUGUGAAUCUUACGGAUCGCCUCCAGUGUGAUAAGUAUCUACGCUGUGGUGUUGAAGUAUAUAGGCAUUCAUGCUUCUAAUCGUCUCUUCAUUGAGACAAUUACUUGACAAUCUGACCUCAAAUCAGGUAGGACUACCCGCUGAACUUAA
This 619-nucleotide ribosomal RNA is filed under the name Phlebia subserialis. RNAcentral describes it as "eukaryotic LSU rRNA". The stretch from base 229 to 382 matches the Rfam family "5.8S ribosomal RNA". The record is from RNAcentral. Lineage: Eukaryota; Fungi; Basidiomycota; Agaricomycetes; Polyporales; Meruliaceae.